RNAcentral lists this ribosomal RNA (510 nucleotides) under uncultured Glomus. Its description in RNAcentral is "SSU rRNA". It matches the Rfam family "Eukaryotic small subunit ribosomal RNA", at positions 569 to 1081 of the family's 1831-position model. Lineage: Eukaryota; Fungi; Glomeromycota; Glomeromycetes; Glomerales; Glomeraceae. The record is from RNAcentral.
AGCAGCCGCGGUAAUUCCAGCUCCAAUAGCGUAUAUUAAAGUUGUUGCAGUUAAAAAGCUCGUAGUUGAAUUUCGGGAUCAGUACGCUGGUCAUGCCUUUGGUAUGCACUGGUGUCACUGGUUUCUCCCUUCUGAAGAACCGUGAUGUCAUUAAUUUGGUGUCGCGGGGAAUCAGGACUGUUACUUUGAAAAAUUAGAGUGUUUAAAGCAGGCUCACGCUUGAAUACAUUAGCAUGGAAUAAUGAAAUAGGACGUUUGACCCUAUUUUGUUGGUUUCUAGGAUCGACGUAAUGAUUAAUAGGGAUAGUUGGGGGCAUUAGUAUUCAAUUGUCAGAGGUGAAAUUCUUGGAUUUAUUGAAGACUAACUACUGCGAAAGCAUUUGCCAAGGAUGUUUUCAUUAAUCAAGAACGAAAGUUAGGGGAUCGAAGACGAUCAGAUACCGUCGUAGUCUUAACCAUAAACUAUGCCGACUAGGGAUCGGAUGAUGUUAAUUUUAUAAUGACUCAUUC